RNAcentral lists this ribosomal RNA (253 nucleotides) under uncultured microorganism. Its description in RNAcentral is "partial 16S ribosomal RNA". It matches the Rfam family "Bacterial small subunit ribosomal RNA", at positions 524 to 776 of the family's 1533-position model. The record is from RNAcentral.
UACGGAGGGUGCGAGCGUUAAUCGGAAUUACUGGGCGUAAAGCGCGCGUAGGUGGCUUGAUAAGCCGGUUGUGAAAGCCCCGGGCUCGACCUGGGAACUGCAUCCGGAACUGUCAAGCUAGAGUGCAGGAGAGGAAGGUAGAAUUCCCGGUGUAGCGGUGAAAUGCGUAGAGAUCGGGAGGAAUACCAGUGGCGAAGGCGGCCUUCUGGACUGACACUGACACUGAGGUGCGAAAGCGUGGGUAGCAAACAGG